This 274-nucleotide ribosomal RNA is filed under the name uncultured bacterium. RNAcentral describes it as "partial 16S ribosomal RNA". It matches the Rfam family "Bacterial small subunit ribosomal RNA", at positions 523 to 796 of the family's 1533-position model. The record is from RNAcentral.
AUACGGAGGGUGCAAGCGUUGUCCGGAUUUAUUGGGUUUAAAGGGUGUGUAGGCGGUGUAUUAAGUCAGUGGUGAAAGCCUGCGGCUCAACCGUAGAACUGCCAUUGAUACUGACACACUUGAGUAUGGACGAGGUAGGCGGAAUUUAUGGUGUGGCGGUGAAAUGCAUAGAUACCAUAAAGAACACCGAUAGCGAAGGCAGCUUACUAGGCCAUAACUGACGCUGAGGCACGAAAGCGUGGGGAGCAAACAGGAUUAGAAACCCCGGUAGUCC